GGAGGAGGAGCGGGCGCCUCUUCCUGGACAGGCGGACUAGUGGGGCUUCACACUCCGGGGUGAGAGCAGAGGAUGAGGGGCGAGUGGAAGGAGACGCCCCUCCGUCACAUUCCCAAGUCUAUUUGUGAUGUUUUUGAAAAACAUAUGAAGGACCUACAGAGAGGCUCGUGAGUCCAAAGCCCUGCUACGUAAAUACUGGCCGAAACGCUUGUUUCGCACACAGCUUCCACGCCCAUGAAACCACCCUGUACAUUUUCAACCUUGACCACAAGGAUAAGCGAGUGACAGGAUGGUGCCCGCUCCGCAGAACAGGAAAAUGGGCACCUCGUUCCCCACGAAGGGGACCCAGCCUGGGUGUCGCGGCAGAACCUAGUUACUCGCUUUCCUUGCGCUAUUAGUCUCAACACAAGCAAACGCUCCCCAAAGUUUUGUUUUGUUUUGUUUUUUUAAAGGUGACCUAUAAACAAACAUUUUGUUCCUGCCUUAUCCAGCGGGCAUUAAAGACCUACGAAUGUGACAUUUGCCACCCUACUUAAUGCUAUCCGUUUUUCCGCUCCAGCCCUGGCCCAUUCGGGGCCCGACCCCCUUUCUACCCUGGGUAUAUCCAACCCCCUCAACCUCCAGCGCUUGGGCACUGCAGGAUGCUCGCGGAGACAGCAGUCUGGGCGCUGGGCAUGCUCAGAGCUCUCGCCAGUCUGCGGGGAGCGCGCCUCGGCCUAAUGCGGGAAGAGGGGCGGGCCCAUCUUCUCGCGUUUGCCUGCUGACUGGCUAGGCUGCCUGUCUUUCAAGCCUUGCACAGCAGCGGUGGAGGGGAGUGAGGGUACCAACGUCGUAGGUUGCAAAACGUAUUGGGGGGGGGGAGACAUAGGCGCCAUUCAGCAGCCUGCGGUACGUGAAUUGGGGUAUCCCGCAUCUGCAAGGGCUGUCUCCUCAGGAAAGCCUGGGGGGUGGGGAGAACCUGUUUCUCCUCUUCUCUGCCUUUGCAGUCUCUUCCAGACCUGGUUAAUAUAUUAUCUGGGUACACAUGUUGAAUCCAGAGCCCUCCCUUCUUUUCCUCUGACAGCUUGGUGAUGUGGGCACACGUGCCCACUACAGCAAGGCUAUAAAUAGCAGAUAAUUUGGAAAAGGUAACGAGGCGGCAAUAACAAGAAUCGAAUUCUGAGGACAUAAAGGGGUUUAGGGGGAGGGGAGUAGAGCCGCCUGGAGUUGUAGAAGGGUGGCCGCGGGAGGUUUUAUCCUAGGCAAGAAAACACAAAGAUAAUAACACGCACAGUUGUUUACUGGCAACAGUGAAAUCUAGAUAGGCCAAAGGGCUUUUUGUUUAGCGAUGGGUGAGGGGCGGGCAGGUAUUUCACAUUUUGUAGGAAACCAAACUCAUACAGCCUUUCACUUUCAAAAUGACCUCCUCCCUGUUUCUCCCUCCCAGCCACCCCCCC
Molecule: long non-coding RNA, 1436 nt
Organism: Jaculus jaculus (lesser Egyptian jerboa)
Lineage: Eukaryota; Metazoa; Chordata; Mammalia; Rodentia; Dipodidae
Exons: 2
Source: RefSeq, a predicted model, not a curated record